Molecule: transfer RNA, 74 nt
Filed under: Myotis lucifugus (little brown bat)
Lineage: Eukaryota; Metazoa; Chordata; Mammalia; Chiroptera; Vespertilionidae
Rfam family: tRNA
About the family: Transfer RNA (tRNA) molecules are approximately 80 nucleotides in length. Their secondary structure includes four short double-helical elements and three loops (D, anti-codon, and T loops).
Source: Rfam by way of RNAcentral
GCUGGUGUGGCUCUGUGGAUAGAGCAUCAGUCUGAAGGACUGAAGGGUCCCGGGUUCAAUUCCGACCAAGGGCA